UCGGGAAUUUUGGGCAAUGGGCGAAAGCCUGACCCAGCAACGCCGCGUGAAGGAUGAAGUAUUUCGGUAUGUAAACUUCGAAAGAAUAGGAAGAAUAAAUGACGGUACUAUUUAUAAGGUCCGGCUAACUACGUGCCAGCAGCCGCGGUAAUACGUAGGGACCAAGCGUUGUUCGGAUUUACUGGGCGUAAAGGGCGCGUAGGCGGCAAUUCAAGUCAUCUGUGAAAUCUCCGGGCUUAACCUGGGAACUGCGUCUGAUACUGGAAGGCUUGAGUAUGGGAGAGGGAUGUAGAAUUCCAGGUGUAGCGGUGAAAUGCGUAGAUAUCUGGAGGAAUACCGAUGGCGAAGGCAGCCCCCUGGGCUAACACUGACGCUCAUGCACGAAAGCGUGGGGAGCAAACAGGAUUAGAUACCCUAGUAGUCCCUGAGCGGGCUGGCAAGGCGCAU
RNAcentral lists this ribosomal RNA (447 nucleotides) under uncultured bacterium. RNAcentral describes it as "bacterial SSU rRNA". It matches the Rfam family "Bacterial small subunit ribosomal RNA", at positions 355 to 825 of the family's 1533-position model. The record is from RNAcentral.